This 220-nucleotide ribosomal RNA is filed under the name uncultured bacterium. RNAcentral's name for it is "partial 16S ribosomal RNA". It matches the Rfam family "Bacterial small subunit ribosomal RNA", at positions 15 to 217 of the family's 1533-position model. The record is from RNAcentral.
GAUCAUGGCUCAGGACGAACGCUGGCGGCGUGCUUAACACAUGUAAGUCGAACGGAGCACCCUUGACUGAGGUUUCGGCCAAAUGAUAGGAAUGCUUAGUGGCGGACUGGUGAGUAACGCGUGAGGAAUCUGCCUUUCAGAGGGGGACAACAGCUGGAAACGGCUGCUAAUACCGCAUGACGCAUUCGGAUGGCAUCAUCUGAAUGCCAAAGAUUUAUCG